AUCUGCUCGCCUCCUAGAAAGAGAAAACGGCCAGCUUUUUUUCCCUCCAUUCCUCCCACAACUCUGCCACACUAGGUAAUGACCGGGGCAGUGUCACCAGUCACUACCCUGCUAUCCUCCUCUACGUCCUCCGCCUCCUUCCAACACCAUCAUCAGCUCCCAUUCCUCCUGGAUACAGGUUUGGUUUGCAGCCUUCCCCUGCAGGUCAUUCAAUCUGUUUGCAAACCUCUGCAAGAGUAAGACAGCUUUUUCUCCAGAGGUUAAGACUUUUCAGGAGCAAACAAUAUGAAAGAAGAAGAAGAAGAAGAAGAAAAUUUCAGCUAAGGCAGAAAUGAUUAAUUGGGCCACUCUGCUGAAAAUAGGAUGCGGCUCUCAAGAUAUGGAAGCUGCUGAGAGAUAUGAAGGAAACAUUGAGUAAGAUAUGGGAGCACUUUGUGAACGCUAAAACACUACCCAAGAGUUGGAUAUCAUGACUACUACUUUCCUCCCCACCCCCAAGACUUGUGAUUUCAUCAGUGGAGGAGGUCCAGUAACUUUCUCUGCCAACGCAGACCAGCCUCUUUCUUGUAGUUUAUCACCUGCAGAGUUGCCAUGGAUGUAGAGAGAUUGGUGAUUUGCUAAUGGGAUUGAGGAAGGAUUGAAACCCCAGUCUUCUUGACUCUAAGGCCACCUCUCCCUUUGCCACACUGACUCUCACUACUGCUAAUAACAACAAAAAACAUAGCCCAUGAUCCCUGUGCUUAAAUACAUACAUGCAUUAAAAAAUCAGUACCUGAGACAU
Molecule: non-coding RNA, 781 nt
Organism: Phascolarctos cinereus (koala)
Lineage: Eukaryota; Metazoa; Chordata; Mammalia; Diprotodontia; Phascolarctidae
Source: RefSeq, a predicted model, not a curated record